This 467-nucleotide ribosomal RNA is filed under the name uncultured bacterium. RNAcentral describes it as "bacterial SSU rRNA". It matches the Rfam family "Bacterial small subunit ribosomal RNA", at positions 100 to 565 of the family's 1533-position model. The record is from RNAcentral.
GCACGGGUGCGUAACGCGUAUGCAACCUACCCAUAACCGGAACAUAACGUUGAGAAAUCGGCGCUAAUAUUCCAUGUGUAUAUUUUGUGGCAUCAUAGGAUAUAUAAAGAUUAAUUGGUUAUGGAUGGGCAUGCGUAUCAUUAGCUAGUUGGUAGGGUAACGGCCUACCAAGGCUGCGAUGAUUAGGGGUUCUGAGAGGAUAACCCCCCACACUGGAACUGAGACACGGUCCAGACUCCUACGGGAGGCAGCAGUAGGGAAUAUUGGGCAAUGGAGGCAACUCUGACCCAGCCAUGCCGCGUGAAGGAAGACGGUCCUAUGGAUUGUAAACUUCUUUUAUCAUAGAGUAACCGCAGGGACGUGUCCCUGCCUGCAAGUAUAUGAUGAAUAAGCAUCGGCUAACUCCGUGCCAGCAGCCGCGGUAAUACGGAGGAUGCAAGCGUUAUCCGGAUUUAUUGGGUUUAAAG